This 1758-nucleotide ribosomal RNA is filed under the name Monomorphina sp. Hongsung070804-O. RNAcentral describes it as "LSU rRNA". It matches the Rfam family "Bacterial large subunit ribosomal RNA", at positions 994 to 2776 of the family's 2925-position model. Lineage: Eukaryota; Euglenozoa; Euglenophyceae; Euglenales; Euglenaceae. The record is from RNAcentral.
GGGGAUAAGCUUCAUUGUCAAGAGGGAAACAGCCCAGAUCACCAUUUAAGGCCCCUAAAUAAUUACUAAGUGACAAAGGAGGUAAUCGUACAUGGACAACCAGGAGGUUUGCCUAGAAGCAGCCACCCUUUAAAAAUUGCGUAAUAGCUUACUGGUUAAGUGCUUUUGCGCCGAAAAUGAAUGGGACUAAGUAAUUUGCCGAAAAUGUGAGAGAAUAUCGGUAGAAGAGCGUUCUGUUUUAGUUUGAAGCAAUAGUGAGAACAGUUGUGGACUAUUCAGAAGUGAGAAUGUCGGCUUAAGUAACGAAAACAUUGGUGGAAAUCCAAUGCCCCGAAAACCUAAGGAUUCCUUCGCAAGGUUCGUCCACGAAGGGUUAGUCAGGACCUAAAAUGAGGUUUAAUAACGUAAUUGAUGGAUGACGGGUUAAUAUUCCCGUACUGCAGUUUAUAUGGUUAAGAGUGACGGAGAAGGCUAUAUCAUCCAAGUUUUGGUUUUUGGUUUAAUCUUUCAAGGUUUUGAGAAAUGCUAAAAAAAGUGUUUUGAGCUGAGAAGAGAGUACGAGAUAUACUACGGUAUUGAAAGUGAUAAAUGUCAUGCUUCCUAGAAAAACUCAUUUAAUUUCUGUAAAUUGUACCUGUACCUUAAACUGACACAGGUAGGUUGGUAGAGAAUACCAAGGGGCGCGAAAUAACUCUUUCUAAGGAACUCGGCAAAAUGACUCUGUAACUUCGGGAGAAAGAGUGCCACAUUUUUGUGGUCGCAGUUAACAGACCCAAGCGACUGUUUACCAAAAACACAGGUCUCCGCUAAGUUGUAAAACUAUGUAUGGGGGCUGACGCCUGCCCAGUGCCGGAAGGUUAAAGAAAUUGGUUAGCUCACGCGAAGCUAGUGACUGAAGCCCUGGUGAACGGCGGCCGUAACUAUAACGGUCUUAAGGUAGCGAAAUUCCUUGUCGGGUAAGUUCCGACCCGCACGAAAGGCGUAACGAUUUGGGUACUGUCUCGGAAAGAGAUUCGGUGAAAUAGAAUUGACUGUGAAGAUGCGGUCUACUUGCACUUGGACAGAAAGACCCUAUGAAGCUUUACUGUAACUUGAAAUUGGUUUCGGGCUUUUCUUGCGCAGUAUAGGUGGGAGGCUAUGAUCCUCUUUUUCGGAAGUUGGUGAGCCGCAAUGUGAGAUACCACUCUAGAAAAGUUAGAAAUCUAAUGACAUUUUUUAAUCAAGAUGUUUGACAGUUUCAGGCGGGCAGUUUUACUGGGGCGGUAGCCUCCUAAAAAGUAACGGAGGCGUACAAAGGUUUUCUCAGGCUGGACGGAAAUUAGUUGCAGAGUGUAAAGAUAUAAGAAAGCUUGACUGUGAGACCUACAAGUCGAACAGAGACUAAAGUCGGUCUUAGUGAUCCGACGGUGCUGUAUGGAAAGGCCGUCGCUCAACGGAUAAAAGUUACUCUAGGGAUAACAGGCUGAUCUCCCCCAAGAGUUCACAUCGACGGGGAGGUUUGGCACCUCGAUGUCGGCUCAUCGCAACCUGGGGCGGAAGUACGUUCCAAGGGUUGGGCUGUUCGCCCAUUAAAGCGGUACGUGAGCUGGGUUCAGAACGUCGAGAGACAGUUCGGUCCAUAUCCGGUGUGAGUGUUAGAGUAUUGAAAGGAGCUUUCCUUAGUACGAGAGGACCGGGAAGGACGCACCACUGAUGUACCAGUUUUUGUACCAACAGAAUACGCUGGGUAGUCAAGUGCGGAGUGGAUAACUGCUGAAA